AUAAAGAAAGUGCUCUGUGCAGAGAGGUGCACUUCUCACCCCUCCUCUCUGCCGGAGUCUGAGGUGGGGACGUGAUUACGAGAAGGAAGCUCUCUGACUUUGCCCACGGGUACUUAAGGAACUUAGGUAGGAAUUAGGUGGGGACGUGGUGCUGCACAGAGCAGCCCAUUAGUUUCUCUAUGCUUGAAUGAAGAGGAUCUCAAGCAUCUCCUCAGAGAAUCUGGGCUUUCUCAUCUAGAAGCCAUUCCAGUGUAGAGCCAAACAAAGAAACUACUUAAAGAGAGGAACAUUUGUAAGGCCUUGUAAAUCCAAAAGGCCAAAAGUCAAAGUCAUGCCCGCAAAGGAACGGAUGUCUGAAAUAACUGCCAAUGAAAUGAACAAAAAGCAGACAUAGAUCUAAUUAGCUAUUUGAGAUUAACCAUUUUUGCAGAAAUUCAAUUAAAGAUGAAGCAGCGCUACUGAAGAAAUUUUUUCAGAAGAAAUUUUUUCAUAUCAAAACAAAUGUUAUUAAGAUUUUAAUAAGAAAGUAUUGGUGAAUUAAGAUGGCUAGGAUUACUUAGUUUCCAGGAAUAAUAAUAUUUUGAAGAGCAUUAAAUUUUAAACUCAAUUAACAGAAUGAAAUCUAGAUUUAUCGAGGUUCAGUGUGCUAGGGUCUAACUAGAAAAGUUCCAUUUCAGGCCCUUUCACUGCCUAAAUUAGGAGAAAGUUUAUGAUCAGUCUAAACAGAGGUAAUCAACUUUUAGCUUCAGUCAAGCUGCAAACUCCCCCACCCCCCAAGACUUCUGGAUAAUAACUUGGUUAUAAUUAAUACAGAGAUGAAAGAGCUGACCAAGACCAAGGGCACUCUUCCCUACCAGAGCAUGGUGGACACCUGAGGACCAGAGGAAUUCUAUGGCAAAGAACUUGGGUUCUUUGAGGAGAAGGCCACUGGGUCAGGAGUCCGUGCAGCUCUUUACAGAUCUACCCUCAUCUUUGCUGAUCUGAUCGAUGCAGAAAACCAGAGCCUUGGCCUUAGGAGGUAGAGAAGAACAAGUGGGUGUACGGAUCCAAAGGGUGGUCUCGGAUGCUCCUGCUGCAGGAGAAGAGCCUCCUUGCCAUGUGCUGCUGGCCAAGCCUGAGCCCUGGGGGCCGCCCUUGUGCCCGCAGACUGUCUUACACAGGACGCCUGAUGUUGAGAGGGGAGAAGCAGGGAGCCAGUGGGAGUGAAGGGGCUUCCCACACCCUCCUCCCACAAACACAGGAAUAAGUAACUGGGGAAACUGUGGGCUUCUGCAACCUGAGGCUCAAGAUGGGCUGGCUGCUAAUUUCCUGGAUGUUGAAGAUCAGAGGAAAAGGAGAGUUUGAGGUAGGUACAGACCAUACACCCAUGUGGUCCUCUCUUCAACAUUUUUCCUAUACCUCGGAGGGUCUCUACUGAAACUACCAGCAUAUCCACUGGUUCAGGGAAGAAAAUGGUGUAAGGACACUUCCUUACUCGUCUCACUUCCCAACACAGAGCAGGCUUAACGAAUACUCGUUGCACAAAUGAACAAAGGUAAGAGCUGCUCAGGAAUCAGUGUUGUUUUCAUCCAGGUUCCCCUCUGGGGACCAAGGGGAUGGGGCUCUGGUGCAGAGGCAGUAGACCAGUCUCUGGUUUCUCCUCACUGUCUGCAGAAGAUCAGAUGCGCGCUGAAGUUCCGAGGUGCCACGCUUACCUGUAGU
This is a long non-coding RNA of Aethalodelphis obliquidens (Pacific white-sided dolphin), 1701 nucleotides long. RefSeq lists it as uncharacterized. The record is from RefSeq and is a predicted model, not a curated record. Lineage: Eukaryota; Metazoa; Chordata; Mammalia; Artiodactyla; Delphinidae. The transcript has 3 exons.